RNAcentral lists this ribosomal RNA (484 nucleotides) under uncultured bacterium. Its description in RNAcentral is "partial 16S ribosomal RNA". It matches the Rfam family "Bacterial small subunit ribosomal RNA", at positions 29 to 507 of the family's 1533-position model. The record is from RNAcentral.
AUUGAACGCUGGCGGCAUGCUUUACACAUGCAAGUCGAACGGCAGCGCGGGCUUCGGCCUGGCGGCGAGUGGCGAACGGGUGAGUAAUGCAUCGGAACGUGCCCAGUAGUGGGGGAUAGCCCGGCGAAAGCCGGAUUAAUACCGCAUACGACCUGAGGGUGAAAGCGGGGGACCGAAAGGCCUCGCGCUAUUGGAGCGGCCGAUGUCGGAUUAGCUAGUUGGUGGGGUAAAGGCUUACCAAGGCGACGAUCCGUAGCUGGUCUGAGAGGACGACCAGCCACACUGGGACUGAGACACGGCCCAGACUCCUACGGGAGGCAGCAGUGGGGAAUUUUGGACAAAGGGGGCAACCCUGAUCCAGCCAUGCCGCGUGCGGGAAGAAGGCCUUCGGGUCGUAAACCGCUUUUGUUCGGGAAGAAAUCCUCUGGGCUAAUACCCCGGGGGGAUGACGGUACCGGAAGAAUAAGCACCGGCUAACUACGCG